GGGGCCGUAGCUCAGUUGGGAGAGCGCCUGCUUUGCAAGCAGGAGGUCGUCGGUUCGAGCCCGAUCGGCUCCA
Molecule: transfer RNA, 73 nt
Filed under: Gemmatimonadota bacterium
Lineage: Bacteria; Pseudomonadati; Gemmatimonadota
Description: Gemmatimonadetes bacterium (sponge metagenome) tRNA-Ala
Rfam family: tRNA
About the family: Transfer RNA (tRNA) molecules are approximately 80 nucleotides in length. Their secondary structure includes four short double-helical elements and three loops (D, anti-codon, and T loops).
Source: RNAcentral